This 74-nucleotide transfer RNA is filed under the name Rhinichthys atratulus (blacknose dace). RNAcentral's name for it is "tRNA-Gln". It matches the Rfam family "tRNA". Rfam says of the family: Transfer RNA (tRNA) molecules are approximately 80 nucleotides in length. The record is from RNAcentral. Lineage: Eukaryota; Metazoa; Chordata; Actinopteri; Cypriniformes; Leuciscidae.
UCUUAGAAAGUGGUGUAGAGGAAGCACUAAGAGUUUUGAUCUCUUGGGCAUGGGUUCGAUCCCCUUCUUUCUAA